AUGGGCAAGAGCGAUCCAUUUCCUCACAAGGAGGGGAAGAGAGCAGGGUCAUACGUGAGCAUGGAUACCAGGAGGAGGAUGAUUGGGGGCCAUCUUAAAGGCUGCUCACCACACUGGGGGAUGAUGCCCUGUGGACUAGGGCACCUUCUAAUUUUCCAGAGUUCCAGGCUGUGCCCAUUGGCCCGGGCUGGGGACUCUCUGAGCCAGAACCAUCAGCUUCCAGAAGGGGGGCAGGCUGUAGACCCAUCAUCAGCCCCAGAUCUGGAUGAAGCCAGGAGUGACCGAGACCCAAGGUGGAAGAGCCCUGCUACGCCUGCAGGGCCCACAUGCGGUUGCUUACAAGAGCUGAACCCCACCACCGGCAGUAGCUUUGGGGAUCUAGGAGGCUCUGAGUUCAAGGACUUGGCCCAGAGGGAAGAGAGGAGACAAGCAGCACCUACAACCCAGAGGCCAUCCACUAGCCUAUGGGGGAGGAAGCUCGCUCAGGGAGCCCCGAGGCCCUCAGGCCUGCCCUCCCAGGGCCUGUCAGAACCCCACGAUCCCCCCGAGGGGCUGAGCUGGAGCCUGGGCCAGGAGAGAGCAGAACUUCAGAAACUGCUGAGGCUAGGGAUUCCUCAGAGGCAGAGAGAGGAGGCUCCUCAAGAGCAGAAAGAGCGCCCCGGGGUUCAGAGGGGGGAGGUCCGCAGGGGGGAGAGCAAGGAAGUUCCUAAGAGACCCACAGAGAAGAUACAGCAGGGCCAGAGGGGGGAGGCUACUCAGGCUCUGAGGGAGGAAGUCUCUGUGGAUCCCAGGGGGCAGGCUCCCGAGGGUGAGAGGAGAGAGUCUCCUCAACGUCAAAGAGGAAACAGCCCUGAGGGGCAGAGAAAAGAGGUCCUCCGGGAGCCGAGGAAGGAGACUCCUCAGGGCCGGGAAGGGAAGAGCCCUCAAACUUCCCCCGGCUGCCUCUCACAAGCCUGGGAGGUGCCUCAGGGAGAGGCGCCUACACAGCCCCCGGCGGAAGGCGGCUCCCUGGGGAUUUCUGGGGAUUUCUGCAGGCCCCUGGGAGAACAGAUGCCGCAGCCUGGGGGAAGAGAGAGCCCUGGCUCCGGGGAAAGGACCACCCAGCUGCCACAGGACGAAACUGAAGGCCAGAGCCGGGCGUCCGCACCGGCCGCAGGAGAGCAGAGGGCCGCCCGGCAGGGGGCGCGGCCUCCCCUUCCACGCCCGAGGCUCCCGGCCGGGCCGCCGCUCCCAGGCCCAGGGGCCGAGCCGCUAGCAGCCCCAGGCACUGGGCGCUCGGGGCAGCGGGAGCAGCCCGCCGCUCUCCCGGGGCGCCCGGGGCUGGUGCGUGAGCCGCACGGGCUUCAGGACCCGGAAGGAAGCCCGGGCCCGGCGGAGCAGGUGCCCGGCGGCUCCGCUAGGCUCCCGGGCACCGUCGGGGGGCGGAGGGGCGGCGCCGAGGCCCCCGAGGCCCCAAAGGCCGCGUGGCCCGGGCUCCCGGGCGGGGAGCAGGCGUCGGCGGGCGUGAGCGCGGCGCAGCAGGAGACGGCUCUGCAGCG
RNAcentral lists this long non-coding RNA (1538 nucleotides) under Ursus americanus (American black bear). Its description in RNAcentral is "lncRNA (ENSUAMG00000021293.1)". Lineage: Eukaryota; Metazoa; Chordata; Mammalia; Carnivora; Ursidae. The record is from RNAcentral.